Molecule: ribosomal RNA, 560 nt
Filed under: uncultured bacterium
Lineage: Bacteria
Description: bacterial SSU rRNA
Rfam family: Bacterial small subunit ribosomal RNA
Source: RNAcentral
CCUACGGGAGGCGGCAGUGGGGAAUAUUGGACAAUGGGCGAAAGCCUGAUCCAGCAAUGCCGCGUGAGUGAAGAAGGCCUUCGGGUUGUAAAGCUCUUUUACCCGGGAAGAUAAUGACUGUACCGGGAGAAUAAGCCCCGGCUAACUCCGUGCCAGCAGCCGCGGUAAUACGGAGGGGGCUAGCGUUGUUCGGAAUUACUGGGCGUAAAGCGUACGUAGGCGGCUUUGUAAGUCAGAGGUGAAAGCCCACGACUCAAUCGUGGAACUGCCUUUGAGACUGCUUCGCUUGAAGAUGGGAGAGGUUAGUGGAAUUCCGAGUGUAGAGGUGAAAUUCGUAGAUAUUCGGAAGAACACCAGUGGCGAAGGCGGCUAACUGGACCAUUCUUGACGCUGAGGUACGAAAGCGUGGGGAGCAAACAGGAUUAGAUACCCUGGUAGUCCACGCCGUAAACGAUGAUAACUAGCUGUCGGGGCUCUUGGAGCUUCGGUGGCGCAGCUAACGCAUUAAGUUAUCCGCCUGGGGAGUACGGCCGCAGGUUAAAACUCAAAUGAAUUGACGG